AUUUAAAGAAAGGUCAAAUAAUUGAGCCCGUGGACGUUAGAAUAAGGCAAACUUCGGAUAAUAAAUACAUUGGAAUUAUGUCUUGUGAAGAAGAAAAAGUAGGAGUAUUAUCUAGGAUAAAAGAUAUACCACCAAAGAAAAAACUACAAGAAGAAGCAUCUAAGAUUGGUUACAGCGGCAGAGACGGCAAGUCCUAUUUGUACCAAGGCAAUCGAUGGAUGCCGGUGGCCGAAGCUGAUGAUCGAGAGAUGUGGAAACACUUCCCUUAUACUAACAGAAAUUACUUCUAACUUAACAGAUUGUUAGGAACCGUAAAUUUUAAAAUGAGAAAGUAUUUUUAAUUCAAUUAAUAAUUUACCUCAGAGGCAAGACGACACAUUUCCAAAUGUGAUCCAAAUACAUAUCUAUAUAUACUAAUAUAUAAAUCUAAGGUGGUUUUUACGUAUGUUCCGUUAUAACUACUGAACCAUGAAUCCGAUUCACUGGAAACUUGGUAUUCAUGUAGAAAAUACAUGUACUUAAUGGAUAGGCUAAUAUUUAUAUGAGUGUUGGACUCCCUACAGCAGUUGCGGAGGCGUUAAUGAUGAGAAUCUUUGUAGGGUUGAGAAAUAAAUAAAUAAUAAAUAAAUAAUAAAUAUUUAUUAACAAUCACGCCACGUUAACUGGUCCCGUGAUAAGUUCGUAAAGAACUUGUGUUACAGGUACCAGAUAACGGAUAUAAAUGUAAAAUUUUUAUUAUACACAUAUAUAUAUUUAAUAUACAUCCAUAACCCUGGGAAAGACAUUUAUAUUUAUCAUACAAAUAUCUUCCCUUGGCGGGAUUCGAACCCGCGACCCCCUUGUGUAGUGACCAUGUCACUUACCACUACACCAGACGGCCGUUAAAUAAUAAUGUUAGUUUUAAAUGCCCAGCGAAGCGGACGGCUACAGUUAGUUAAUAUAUAUAAAUAUCACAUUCUGUUUCAGUAAAAGUUUAUAAUGAAAAUUCAAGAAACCUAACAAUAUUUUUUCGUAUAUUUUCACUGGUCGCUUAAUAUCGCUACAUGUUUUAUUCGUAAGUUCAUACAAAGUGAAUAUGAUAAUAUAAUUCUGUAUUUUUUACCAGAACCUCUUUAGCUCGGUAUCUGCUUGUAUUCAUUAUUAAAAAAGAAUUCAUUUCAAUCAGAAAA
Bombyx mori (domestic silkworm) is the source of this 1169-nucleotide long non-coding RNA. RefSeq lists it as uncharacterized. Lineage: Eukaryota; Metazoa; Arthropoda; Insecta; Lepidoptera; Bombycidae. The record is from RefSeq and is a predicted model, not a curated record. The transcript has 2 exons.